RNAcentral lists this ribosomal RNA (450 nucleotides) under uncultured bacterium. Its description in RNAcentral is "bacterial SSU rRNA". It matches the Rfam family "Bacterial small subunit ribosomal RNA", at positions 1081 to 1533 of the family's 1533-position model. The record is from RNAcentral.
GUAGUCCGCACGAGCGCACCCCUGUCCUUAGUUUGCCAUCAGGUGAUGCUGGGAACUCUAAGGAGACUGCCGGUGACAAGCCGGAGGAAGGUGGGGAUGACGUCAAGUCAUCAUGGCUCUUACGUCCAGGGCUGCACACGUGCUACAAUGGCCGGUACAAAGGGUCGCGAUACCGCGAGGUGGAGCCAAUCCCAAAAAACCGGUCUCAGUUCGGAUUACAGUCUGCAACUCGACUGUAUGAAGCUGGAAUUGCUAGUAAUCGUGGAUCAGCAUGCCACGGUGAAUACGUUCCCGGGUCUUGUACAUACCGCCCGUCAAGCCAUGGAAGCUGGGAGUGCCCGAAGUCUGUGACCCAACCUAGUGAGGGAGCAGCCGAAGGUAAGUUCGGUGACUGGGGCUAAGUCGUAACAAGGUAGCCGUAGGGGAACCUGCGGCUGGAUCACCUCCUUU